AUUGAACGCUGGCGGUAUGCUUAACACAUGCAAGUCGAACGCGAACGGUACUUCGGUACUUAUUAGAGUGGCGGACGGGUGCGUAACGCGUGGGAAUCUGCCCAGUAGUUGGGGACAACCUGGUGAAAACCAGGCUAAUACCGAAUACGCCCUACGGGGGAAAGAUGGCCUCUUCUUGAAAGCUAUCACUAUUGGAUGAGCCCGCGUAAGAUUAGCUAGUUGGUGAGGUAAAGGCUCACCAAGGCGACGAUCUUUAGCUGGUCUGAGAGGAUGAUCAGCCACACUGGGACUGAGACACGGCCCAG
Molecule: ribosomal RNA, 305 nt
Filed under: uncultured bacterium
Lineage: Bacteria
Description: bacterial SSU rRNA
Rfam family: Bacterial small subunit ribosomal RNA
Source: RNAcentral